AACGAACGCUGGCGGCGUGUUUAAGACAUGCAAGUCGCACGGGGGAAUUUUGGUAGCAAUAUUAGGAUUUCUUAGUGGCGCACGGGUGAGUAACACGUGAAUGACAUGCCCCGCAGAGGGGGAUAACCCGGGGAAACCCGGACUAAUACCCCAUGGUAUCGCGAGAUUAAAGGUGGCCGCAAGGCUGCCGCUGCGGGAUUGGUUCGCGUUCUAUCAGCUUGUUGGGGGGUAACGGCCCACCAAGGCUACGACGGAUACCUGGUCCGAGAGGACGAUCAGGCACACUGGAACUGAGACACGGUCCAGACACCUACGGGUGGCAGCAGUCGAGAAUAAUUCACAAUGGGGGCAACCCUGAUGGUGCAACGCCGCGUGGAGGAUGAAGGUCUUCGGAUUGUAAACUCCUGUCAUCCGGGAGUAAGACCUGGGCAUGAAUAGUGCACAGGGUUGAUAGUACCGGAAGAGGAAGGGACGGCUAACUUCGUGCCAGCAGCCGCCGUAA
Molecule: ribosomal RNA, 502 nt
Filed under: uncultured bacterium
Lineage: Bacteria
Description: partial 16S ribosomal RNA
Rfam family: Bacterial small subunit ribosomal RNA
Source: RNAcentral